This 490-nucleotide ribosomal RNA is filed under the name uncultured bacterium. RNAcentral describes it as "partial 16S ribosomal RNA". It matches the Rfam family "Bacterial small subunit ribosomal RNA", at positions 30 to 507 of the family's 1533-position model. The record is from RNAcentral.
AUUGAACGCUGGCGGCAGGCCUAACACAUGCAAGUCGAACGGUAACAGGAAACAGCUUGCUGCUUCGCUGACGAGUGGCGGACGGGUGAGUAAUGUCUGGGAAACUGCCUGAUGGAGGGGGAUAACUACUGGAAACGGUAGCUAAUACCGCAUAACGUCGCAAGACCAAAGAGGGGGACCUUCGGGCCUCUUGCCAUCGGAUGUGCCCAGAUGGGAUUAGCUAGUAGGUGGGGUAACGGCUCACCUAGGCGACGAUCCCUAGCUGGUCUGAGAGGAUGACCAGCCACACUGGAACUGAGACACGGUCCAGACUCCUACGGGAGGCAGCAGUGGGGAAUAUUGCACAAUGGGCGCAAGCCUGAUGCAGCCAUGCCGCGUGUAUGAAGAAGGCCUUCGGGUUGUAAAGUACUUUCAGCGGGGAUGAAGGGAGUAAAGUUAAUACCUUUGCUCAUUGACGUUACCCGCAGAAGAAGCACCGGCUAACUCCGUG